RNAcentral lists this small RNA (410 nucleotides) under Drosophila pseudoobscura pseudoobscura. Its description in RNAcentral is "GA30863". Lineage: Eukaryota; Metazoa; Arthropoda; Insecta; Diptera; Drosophilidae. The record is from RNAcentral.
CAGGCCAGCGCCGUGUGGCACAGAAUCAGUCGUCAGUUUGUCCUAAGCGGAUUUGGUCGACACGUGUGUAGAUCCAGAGCCGAAAAGAGUUUAGAACGUGACUAAAACAGACACCAAAACCAAACCAAAGAAAACGCAAAAAGUAAAAGCGGAAGAAGCGGAACAAAAAACCUUAGGAAAAAAGCAAAACUAAUUUGCACUUUGAACUGAAGUUGGUCCUGCGUCCUGCGGAAUUGUUGCUGCAAAAGUUUUUCCCCCCCCGGAUUUCAUUGGAAGACAACAGCCCAAGUGCGAAGUGCUCUACUCGACUCGUUUCGACGCGACUCCCGCUCUUAACGACUCCCGGGCGGCAUUGGCAUUGUCUGUCGGCACGGAGUUUCCUGCACACAAAAAGGUCCUGUGUCCGGGCU